RNAcentral lists this ribosomal RNA (431 nucleotides) under uncultured bacterium. Its description in RNAcentral is "bacterial SSU rRNA". It matches the Rfam family "Bacterial small subunit ribosomal RNA", at positions 355 to 776 of the family's 1533-position model. The record is from RNAcentral.
UCGAGAAGCUUCGGCAAUGGGCGAAAGCCUGACCGAGCGACGCCGCGUGAGCGAAGAAGGCCCUAUGGGUUGUAAAGCUCUGUCAGAUUGGGAAGAAAACCCCGCGGUUAAUACCUGCGGGGCUUGACGGUACCAUCAGAGGAAGCACCGGCUAACCCCGUGCCAGCAGCCGCGGUAAUACGGGGGGUGCGAGCGUUGUUCGGAUUCACUGGGUAUAAAGGGUGCGCAGGCGGACUGGUAAGUCAGAGGUGAAAUUUGUCGGCUCAACCGACAGACUGCCCCUGAAACUGCCAGUCUUGAGUCCGGGAGAGGUAGGUGGAAUUCCAGGUGUAGCGGUGAAAUGCGUAAAUAUCUGGAGGAACACCGGUGGCGAAGGCGGCCUACUGGCCCGGAACUGACGCUCAGGCACGAAAGCUAGGGGAGCGAACGGG